Molecule: ribosomal RNA, 261 nt
Filed under: uncultured bacterium
Lineage: Bacteria
Description: partial 16S ribosomal RNA
Rfam family: Bacterial small subunit ribosomal RNA
Source: RNAcentral
GUAAGCCUACGGGGGGCAGCAGUAGGGAAUCUUCCACAAUGGGCGAAAGCCUGAUGGAGCAACGCCGCGUGGGUGAAGAAGGUCUUCGGAUCGUAAAACCCUGUUGUUAGAGAAGAAAGCGCGUGAGAGGAACUGUUCACGUUUCGACGGUAUCUAACCAGACAGCCAAGGCUAACUACGUGACAGCAGCCGCGGUAAUACGUAGGUGGCAAGCGUUAUCCGGAUUAAUUGGGCGUAAAGGGAACGCAGGCGGUCUUUUAA